CAGUCGCCGCGGUAAUGCGUAGGUGGCAAGCGUUGUCCGGAAUUAUUGGGCGUAAAGCGUGCGCAGGCGGUUGUGUAAGACAGGUGUGAAAUCCCCGGGCUUAACCUGGGAACUGCGCUUGUGACUGCACAGCUAGAGUAUGGCAGAGGGGGGUGGAAUUCCACGUGUAGCAGUGAAAUGCGUAGAGAUGUGGAGGAACACCGAUGGCGAAGGCAGCCCCCUGGGCCAAUACUGACGCUCAUGCACGAAAGCGUGGGGAGCAAACAGGAUUAGAUACCCGGGUAGUCCCUGUCUCAUAUAC
This 301-nucleotide ribosomal RNA is filed under the name uncultured bacterium. RNAcentral's name for it is "partial 16S ribosomal RNA". It matches the Rfam family "Bacterial small subunit ribosomal RNA", at positions 509 to 809 of the family's 1533-position model. The record is from RNAcentral.